RNAcentral lists this ribosomal RNA (273 nucleotides) under uncultured bacterium. Its description in RNAcentral is "partial 16S ribosomal RNA". It matches the Rfam family "Bacterial small subunit ribosomal RNA", at positions 524 to 796 of the family's 1533-position model. The record is from RNAcentral.
UACGAAGGGGGCUAGCGUUGUUCGGAAUUACUGGGCGUAAAGCGCACGUAGGCGGACUGAUAAGUCAGGGGUGAAAUCCCGGGGCUCAACCCCGGAACUGCCUUUGAUACUGUCAGUCUAGAGUUCGAGAGAGGUGAGUGGAAUUCCGAGUGUAGAGGUGAAAUUCGUAGAUAUUCGGAGGAACACCAGUGGCGAAGGCGGCUCACUGGCUCGAUACUGACGCUGAGGUGCGAAAGCGUGGGGAGCAAACAGGAUUAGAUACCCCAGUAGUCC